This 223-nucleotide long non-coding RNA is filed under the name Elaeis guineensis (African oil palm). RNAcentral's name for it is "long non-coding RNA (EGUI_LNC015675)". The record is from RNAcentral. Lineage: Eukaryota; Viridiplantae; Streptophyta; Magnoliopsida; Arecales; Arecaceae.
GUCCAACCUCGUGGAACUCCACAUCAAUCCAACUAGUAAUUUUGCUUGAAAGCAUUGCUGCUCGUACCAAAAAUGAGCGAACCUUGACCUUAGUUUGGCAGACAUGGCCUCAUGAUGAAUUGUUGACUUACUGCAUUGGAAGUUAGUGAGACAAUCAUUUUCAAAAAUUUUUAGGAACCGUUUGGAAUAAACUUUGUGGAUUUUUGUUAUACCUUGGAACCAU